GCUGUUACCGUUAGAGGUGUUGCAGGUGUGGGUGCUGUGUCACAUGUGCGUUGGUGGUAGCAGAGAGGAGACAGACUAUGUCUAUGUUCAGUGUCCUGACCUAUAAACAUCUGAGUGAUUAGUAGCCUAACUUU
This is a non-coding RNA of Arvicanthis niloticus (Nile rat), 134 nucleotides long. NCBI's taxonomy places the organism in Eukaryota, Metazoa, Chordata, Mammalia, Rodentia, Muridae. The record is from RefSeq and is a predicted model, not a curated record.